Molecule: long non-coding RNA, 1146 nt
Filed under: Citrus x clementina
Lineage: Eukaryota; Viridiplantae; Streptophyta; Magnoliopsida; Sapindales; Rutaceae
Description: Citrus clementina (C. clementina) long non-coding RNA (CCLE_LNC005685)
Source: RNAcentral
UCUGUACAGCAUAAGCUAAAAUUGAGCUGACUUUAAGUUGGAAGAGGGUUGAAACUGAGGUUUCAGGCCCAGUAAUAAACAUUUGAGAAUUGACAUGUUAUAUCUUAAGCUGCACAUGCUACAGUUGUCCAAUGAUGAGCUGCUGAACGCCUAUUUUUUUUUGCAGAAUUAGAAUAUUUAGACAAAAAGGAACACUACUACAAAAUCUGGAGAGGGAAGCAAAACCCAGAAGCUAGCUCAAACAUCUGUAGCACUAAAAUUGUCAAAAGAUAUUUUUUUAAUAUUUUUUUCUUGAAUCAUGAAUAUUCAGAUUAAAAUACUUGAACAAGUAAGUGUAACCAACGUUAUGGAUUGAAACCAAGGACACCCAGAAAUGAAAAAAAUAAGGAAAUAUGGAAUAACAAUAAUAAUAAUACAGAGAGAAAGAGAAGGAAAGGAACUAACUUGUGGGCACUGUAUUCAUACUCCAAAUUGAUGAGUUGUUGAGAAGAAGAAGAAGAAGAAGGAGAAGUGCCUCCUUGAGGUUGAGCACCAUAACUUCUCUUCCUGCAUACUCUGCUCAAUAAGCAAUGCAAAUUUCUUCUUGUUGCACCCAUUGAAUUCAUAAUAACAAUAAUAUCAAUGUAAUUUUUGAUAAUCCAAUCUAAUUACGUUCAGUUGGAUCCUAGGAAAACCCAACGUUGAAGUGUGCUAAUGAUAGAUAAGAACGAGAGCAGGACGUCAAAUUUCCAUAUUUGUUUUUGUUAUGUUCCGUUUAGCUUACGACUUUUACGUCAUGGUUACCGUAAAGGUACACGUCCCAAAGCAAAAAGCCAUUCCCAUUCAUUCAACUCAGUGAUCCAAUCCCCAUUGCCUCUCCAUCUCAGUAACCUACGAAAUGAACUAUGACUAGACCACGGCACCCAUGCCCCCUAUCCAAUUCAUUUUUGGCCCAGUAAUUUUGCUGCCUCUGCAUUUCUUUUUUUGAAAUUUUGACAGUUGAAAAAAUGAUCAUUAUUAUUAUUUUAACUUGUUAAACUCUACAUAAUGUUACAACCUUAAAAAAGCUCAGAUGUGAUCCGAUCAUGAGAUCGUAGUGAGUAACAGAUACGAGAGAAAUCGCAGUUAAAUAUAUCCAUAUGAAGAAAUAUUUGAAGUUGAUAAAUA